This 253-nucleotide ribosomal RNA is filed under the name uncultured bacterium. Its description in RNAcentral is "partial 16S ribosomal RNA". It matches the Rfam family "Bacterial small subunit ribosomal RNA", at positions 524 to 776 of the family's 1533-position model. The record is from RNAcentral.
UACGUAGGGUGCGAGCGUUAAUCGGAAUUACUGGGCGUAAAGUGUGCGCAGGCGGCGUCGCAAGUCGAGUGUGAAAUCCCCGGGCUUAACUUGGGAAUUGCGCUCGAAACUACGGUGCUGGAGUGUGGCAGAGGAAGGUGGAAUUCCACGUGUAGCGGUGAAAUGCGUAGAUAUGUGGAGGAACACCGAUGGCGAAGGCAGCCUUCUGGGCCAACACUGACGCUCAUGCACGAAAGCGUGGGGAGCAAACAGG